AACGAACGCUGGCGGCAGGCCUAACACAUGCAAGUCGAGCGAGGUAGCAAUACCUAGCGGCGGACAGGUGAGUAACGCGUGGGAACGUGCCCUUUGCUACGGAAUAGCCUCGGGAAACUGGGAGUAAUACCGUAUGUGCCCUUCGGGGGACAGAUUUAUCGGCAAAGGAUCGGCCCGCGUUGGAUUAGGUAGUUGGUGAGGUAAUGGCUCACCACGCCGACGAUCCAUAGCUGGUUUGAGAGGAUGAUCAGCCACACUGGGACUGAGACACGGCCCAGACUCCUACGGGAGGCAGCAGUGGGGAAUCUUAGACAAUGGGCGCAAGCCUGAUCUAGCCAUGCCGCGUGAGCGAUGAAGGCCUUAGGGUUGUAAAGCUCUUUCAGUGGGGAAGAUAAUGACUGUACCCACAGAAGAAGCCCCGGUUAACUCCGUGCCAGCAGCCGCCGUAA
RNAcentral lists this ribosomal RNA (449 nucleotides) under uncultured bacterium. RNAcentral's name for it is "partial 16S ribosomal RNA". It matches the Rfam family "Bacterial small subunit ribosomal RNA", at positions 29 to 523 of the family's 1533-position model. The record is from RNAcentral.